RNAcentral lists this ribosomal RNA (842 nucleotides) under uncultured eukaryote. RNAcentral describes it as "SSU rRNA". It matches the Rfam family "Eukaryotic small subunit ribosomal RNA", at positions 636 to 1426 of the family's 1831-position model. The record is from RNAcentral.
CGGUGUUCAACUGGCGUGCCCGCGGGACGUCCUGCCGGUGAGCUCAUCCCGCGAGGGCGGCUCAACUUGAAAUCCCAUCGCGGUGCUUCUUCAUUGAGUGUCGAGGUGGGCCGGCGACGAUUACUUUUGAACAAAUUAGAGUGCUUAAAGCAGGCUAAAAUUUUGCCUGAAUACUGUGUAUAUGGAAUAAUGGAAUAGGACCUCGGUUCUAUUUUGUUGGUUUUCGGAACCCCGAGGUAAUGAUUUAUAGGAACGGGAUGGGGGCAUUCGUAUUGCGACGUUAGAGGUGAAAUUCUUGGAUCGUCGCAAGACGGACUAAAGCGAAAGCAUUUGCCAAAAACGCUUUCAUUGAUCAAGAAAGAAAGUUAGAGGUUCGAAGGCGAUCAGAUACCGCCCUAGUUCUAACCAUAAACUAUGCCAGCUAGCGAUCCGCCGACGUCCCUCUGAUGACUCGGCGGGCAGCUUCCGGGAAACCAAAGCUUUUGGGUUCCGGGGGAAGUAUGGUUGCAAAGCUGAAACUUAAAGGAAUUGACGGAAGGGCACCACCAGGAGUGGAGCCUGCGGCUUAAUUUGACUCAACACGGGAAACCUCCCCAGGCCCAGACACUGGAAGGAUUGACAGAUUGAGAGCUCUUUCUUGAUUCAGUGGGUGGUGGUGCAUGGCCGUUUUUAGUCGGUGGAGCGAUUUGUCAGGUUAAUUCCGAUAACGGACGAGACUCUGACCUGAUAACUAGACGCACUUGCGGCAUCUCAAAGGUCCGCCGGCGGCUGGCUUUGCGCCCGUCGUCGCGCGCGAUUUUUACUGCCGGCGUACAAUAAAUUCUUCUUAGAGGGACAAGUGG